CCCGGCUAGCCGGCCUCGUCGCCUCAUCGCUUCCUGGCCCUAGCCGCAGGACAGGGAGCGCUCCCAGUUCCAGGCCCUUUCGCCCCUGCAAUCCCAUACUCCCACUCCUCUGGGAGAGAGUUCCUUUAAAACGCACUUCACACUUAAAUUCCACGCUCUGCCUCCCCAGAACCCUCCAUCUGUCAGACCCUCUGACUUCCCUAAGACUGCCCCUUCCGCUGCGUUCACCAGUGACUCACGCCCUGGGCUUGCCCGGAAGAGGGGUUACAGAGCCCUGGGCUCUCUCUCCUGGCCUUCUCUACCCAGCUUGAGAUGUAUGGGUACCACACACGUCCCCACUCUCUCCCUACCUCAGGAUCCGUGACUGUUUCCUGAAAUUCCGGGUUUUGGAGUCCUGUUCUUUAAACGGUUGGGAAAGUUGAGAGAGACACCCUAAAGCAACAGUUGUAGGGCUGAUCCCUUAAGUGUUAACUGAUUCCCACAGGUACUGCGGGCCCAGAGACCUGAUUUCAAUUGCAGCGCACUAAUGGUUAGGGAAUACACCCAAUCUUCCUUUACUACUGGAGUUACCAAAGGCUGAGAGAGCAGCGCCUACUUUGUCCAUCGCACUGGGCUGAAGUUGACAAAGAAGAAAAUAACAAUUCAUCUUUGCUUUAAAAGGACACAGCUUUUCUAAUGAGGUUACACGUUGGGUGAGAUGGAGUUUUCCCACUGGAUUCUCAGGAAUUUGGUGACAUGGCACGGUACUUUCUGAGCAGUGUUCCUUGCUGAGGAAUUUUCUUUCCCUGCUGGUUUGACAUUAAACAGAUUUGUUUAACCUUUAGAAGGUACUACUAUGGGGACUCUGGAAGGUAACAGAGUUGCAAUGACCCCCUGGAUCUCACACAGAGAUACCUUCCCUCCAGAAUCACCCUUAUCUAUCCCUCAAUAUGGAUUAAGUUCUUAAUUUUUUCAUCUGAAUUUGAGGUUUGGGGAUGGCUUACAGUAGUCAAAGCUGUUUUCGGCACUGUGGUCACUCCUGUUGUAGCAUGUCAUGAACCCCACAGUUCCGUCCUCAUGGCUCAGAGAGGUCACCAUGGAGACAUCUGACUGCAAUUGUGACCCAUUGCAGGUGCUGGCCGACUUCAGCUGCCCUGACUGAUAUUUGGGCAUGCCAAACCUAAAACAGAGAUUGGAUUUAGAGGAAUAUCUAUUGAUUUCUCCAUCAGCAAGCACCCAACAAGUGGAAGAACAGUUGACUAGGAAGCAUGAGGUAGAUAAAGGUAGGCCAAAAAACCAGGUGUACAGAGGACUGUGGGGGUUAUUUUGCAUUAAGAUCCUGUUGGCCUUUUUUUCCACUUUAUGGCUAGAACCAAAUGAGUUGUGAGAAUUUUGGAUAAUCAAUCAACUCUAUGACUUGUUUAUUUUCUCUUUAAAAUAUAAAGUUUCUAAUAAUCAUUUGAAUAUUUGUCCUUCAUGUAAUGAUAGGUUUAGAUUCUUUGAGCUGUUUAUAACCCUCACAACAUGUCCUUUAAUAAUACUGUUUGGGAUGGUGGUGUGCAUGUUAGUGAUGGAUAAUAUAAAUGGCCUUUUGUGUUUUUUGAAAAAGGAAAAUUCCUAUUCUUAAUUAUUAAGUAUUCAGUGAGCUCAUAAUGUGUUCAAAUAAUCAACUGUGGUGCCCUCAGCUGCCUCAGAUAUUGUCAUAACUUUUCACUCUUUAUUCCCAAACCUUACAUUUACAUCUGUGUACUCACAAGUGGGUACAUACUUAUUUCCUUCUUACCAUCAUUAGCCUUAUUUUUGGAAAUGUUGGGCCUAGCCACUUAAAAAAAAAACAAAUAUUUUUUAAAUGUUUACAUUUAAAUGAGACAACAUAAUAACUUAUUACAGAGUUGAAGAGAAAGGCCUGGAAGCAAAAUACGAGCUUUUCUCAUCCAUGGCUGCCCCUUCAUGAACAUGUUUAUGCUGAGACCCUGCUGCGUUGCUUUUCCUGGGAUGUAUAUUUUUAAGCUGCAUCACACAUUUAGUGAAAUAGCUCAGCUACAGUCUUACCUUGGGUGGAAGAUGGACCACCUUAAUGUAAUUCAGACAGAAACUGGAUUUAAUUUUUUCAGGCAAUAAUUUCAAUGUGUUUCAGAAAAUGAAACACAUUUCCCCACUGGCUUCUUUCUGUGCCAGUUUUUGUACUAAUAUAGAGGACUUGUUUGGCAGGACUUACCACUCAAAAGACCUGAAAUUAUUUGCAUGGACCUUCUAUCAAAAGUUCAUUUCUGCAGAAACUGGAGACCUUUUGUGGCACUUUAUCUUCAGCUUCCAUUCAGUGAAUGUCCAACUUGACAUGUGCUUCUUUCAAUCCAUAGAUUCAUGGACCUAGCUAGGAUUGGAAGAAUUCAAAUUCAUUCAGUUAGGACUAAUGUAAUUCAUAUAGUAGAAGACUAGAUCUGAAGUAACCAAGAGUUAAGAAUCUGAUCUUCACUUGAUCUUUCAAAAAGAAAUUUUUCAUGGACAAGGGAUCUGAAAAGACAUUUCUCCAAAGAAGAUAAACAAAUAGCCAGUAAGUAUGUGAAAAGACGCUCAACAUCAUUAGUCAUCAGAGAAAUGUAAAUCAAAACCACAAUGAGAUACCACUUCACCCACUAAAAUGACUUUAAU
Long non-coding RNA from Phyllostomus discolor (pale spear-nosed bat), 2631 nucleotides. RefSeq lists it as uncharacterized. The record is from RefSeq and is a predicted model, not a curated record. NCBI's taxonomy places the organism in Eukaryota, Metazoa, Chordata, Mammalia, Chiroptera, Phyllostomidae. The transcript has 4 exons.